GCAUCCGUAGCUCAGCUGGAUAGAGUAACCGGCUACGAACCGGUCGGUCGGGGGUUCGAAUCCCUCCGGAUGUGCCA
RNAcentral lists this transfer RNA (77 nucleotides) under Clostridia bacterium. Its description in RNAcentral is "tRNA-Arg". It matches the Rfam family "tRNA". Rfam says of the family: Transfer RNA (tRNA) molecules are approximately 80 nucleotides in length. Their secondary structure includes four short double-helical elements and three loops (D, anti-codon, and T loops). The record is from RNAcentral. Lineage: Bacteria; Bacillati; Bacillota; Clostridia.